GAUGAACGCUGGCGGCGUGCCUAAUACAUGCAAGUCGAGCGAACAGACGAGGAGCUUGCUCCUUCGACGUUAGCGGCGGACGGGUGAGUAACACGUAGGUAACCUACCUAUAAGACUGGGAUAACUUCGGGAAACCGGAGCUAAUACCGGAUAAUAUUUCGAACCGCAUGGUUCGAUAGUGAAAGAUGGCUUUGCUAUCACUUAUAGAUGGACCUGCGCCGUAUUAGCUAGUUGGUAAGGUAACGGCUUACCAAGGCAACGAUACGUAGCCGACCUGAGAGGGUGAUCGGCCACACUGGAACUGAGACACGGUCCAGACUCCUACGGGAGGCAGCAGUAGGGAAUCUUCCGCAAUGGGCGAAAGCCUGACGGAGCAACGCCGCGUGAGUGUUGAAGGUCUUCGGAUCGUAAAACUCUGUUAUUAGGGAAGAACAAACGUGUAAGUAACUGUGCACGUCUUGACGGUACCUAAUCAGAAAGCCACGGCUAACUACGUG
RNAcentral lists this ribosomal RNA (497 nucleotides) under uncultured bacterium. RNAcentral's name for it is "partial 16S ribosomal RNA". It matches the Rfam family "Bacterial small subunit ribosomal RNA", at positions 28 to 507 of the family's 1533-position model. The record is from RNAcentral.